Non-coding RNA from Odocoileus virginianus texanus, 550 nucleotides. The record is from RefSeq and is a predicted model, not a curated record. Lineage: Eukaryota; Metazoa; Chordata; Mammalia; Artiodactyla; Cervidae.
AAAUGAUUGUUGUCAUUCAUCAAUAUACGAAUAGGAUCAUUUUUCUUAAAGAAGAAAGUGAUACAGUUUUAUAUCCAAGUCCAUAUGAAAACUGGGAAAAAUGAAAUGUAGACAGAAAGAAGUAUACAUUCAAGAAAAAUGGAAGAAUGUUUAUAGAAGAUGGGAAGGCCAUCUUAUUCGAAGACCAGGAUGAUGGAAUUUCUGCCAUCUUGUGGUUGCAACAGCUCCUUGGGCCCUGUAGCAGGGAGAGAGAAGAGAUUCUCAGUGGGCUUUCCACUGCCUCCGCCCAGGACUGCUUGUGGCUUCUACUCACAUUUCAUUGGCCAUAGCUAAUCACAUGGUCUUCCAAACUUCAAAGGAGCUGAGGAAUUUGGGGACUGGCUGAAAUGAUUAGCUAAAACUGUCUCUCACCUGAACUGUCUCACACUUAAACCUAAGUGUGCAUUUUUGACACAGGCUGACAUUUCCAAAAUCAAGUAUUCAAGAAGGAAGAAGAUGGUUGAGAAAGAGAAAACCAUUACCAAACCCUCAUUUUUAGCCACUAAUUCCA